CCUACGGGAGGCAGCAGUGAGGAAUAUUGGUCAAUGGGCGGGAGCCUGAACCAGCCAAGCCGCGUGAGGGAAGAAGGUACAGCGUAUCGUAAACCUCUUUUGUCAGGGAACAAAGGCGGGGACUAGUCCCCGGAUGAGGGUACCUGAAGAAAAAGCAUCGGCUAACUCCGUGCCAGCAGCCGCGGUAAUACGGAGGAUGCGAGCGUUAUCCGGAUUUAUUGGGUUUAAAGGGAGCGUAGGUGGAUUGUUAAGUCAGUUGUUAAAGUUUGCGGCUCAACCGUAAAAUUGCAGUUGAAACUGGCAGUCUUGAGUACAGUAGAGGUGGGCGAAAUUCGUGGUGUAGCGGUGAAAUGCUUAGAUAUCACGAAGAACUCCGAUUGCGAAGGCAGUUCACUGGACUGCAACUGACACUGAGGCUCGAAAGUGUGGGUAUCAAACAGGAUUAGAUACCCGGGUAGUC
Molecule: ribosomal RNA, 460 nt
Filed under: uncultured bacterium
Lineage: Bacteria
Description: partial 16S ribosomal RNA
Rfam family: Bacterial small subunit ribosomal RNA
Source: RNAcentral